UACGUAGGGUGCAGGCGUUAAUCGGAAUUACUGGGCGUAAAGCGUGCGCAGGCGGUUUGCUAAGACAGGUGUGAAAUCCCCGGGCCUAACCUGGGAACUGCAUUUGUGACUGCAUGGCUAGAGUUUGUCAGAGGGGGGUGGAAUUCCACGUGUAGCAGUGAAAUGCGUAGAUAUGUGGAGGAACACCGAUGGCGAAGGCAGCCCCCUGGGAUGUGACUGACGCUCAUGUACGAAAGCGUGGGGAGCAAACAGG
RNAcentral lists this ribosomal RNA (253 nucleotides) under uncultured bacterium. RNAcentral describes it as "partial 16S ribosomal RNA". It matches the Rfam family "Bacterial small subunit ribosomal RNA", at positions 524 to 776 of the family's 1533-position model. The record is from RNAcentral.